This 6977-nucleotide long non-coding RNA is filed under the name Marmota monax (woodchuck). Lineage: Eukaryota; Metazoa; Chordata; Mammalia; Rodentia; Sciuridae. The record is from RNAcentral.
AUAAUGAUAGCUGUGUUCCAGUAAAAUUUAAAUACAUAAAGACAGGUAGUGGCGUGGUGUGUGUGUGUGUGUGUGUGUGUGUGUGUGUAUAUAUAUAUAUAUAUAUAUAUAGCUAUAGUUUGCUCUCUUUAGGUUUAAAGAAGCAUUUACUUUACAUUUAGCUUAACCCUACUAAGUUCAGCGACUCAAGGGACUUUGCUGAGUGCCCAGGGCUAGUCUAUGAGGUCUUUUUGCUCUGGCUGGCACUCAACACUUGAACAUCUCUCAGUCCUUUGUGAACUCUGGAAUUUGAUAAUGUCAUGCAUUCCCAAUAUUCAUGUUUUCUGUAUUUAUUGUUAUUUUCUCAGCCUUGUAGUUUCACCCUAAUGUAGAGUUUAUUAUGUGGACACAGAAUCAAAGGGACCCCUAACCAAAUUGCCAGAGUGCUACUUCUAACUUCCUCCUCUGUGGUACUUUUGCCUUACAAAUUCUACCUAUCCCAAGUCUCUGUCUCCUCAAGUCAUUAAGCCCACUGUUUUGCUCAGACUCCUCUCUAUUCUAUUUGGAUUCCCCUUCUUUAUACUUUGUGGUCCAGAAAUUACCUCCCAGCAGAAAGCAAAGGUGAUGGUAAGACACCUCACUUAUUUCUCUUCUCUUGGAGACUAGAGCCCUGCCGUUCAGUAUUGCCAGACACAUUUUGUUCAGGUUUCUAGUUUAUAGUAAGAGAACAAAUCCAGUUUAUUUAAUUUGAAAUAGCUAGAAAUAGAAGUUGUUUUUAUUUACAUAUCAUAGGCUUAAAAUAUAUUAUAGAUGUUUAUGCCUAUAAUAAAACUUACACUUAAAAUCAAUAAUAUCUGUCUCCAGAAAUAAAUUCUCCAAUUGCAAACUAAGCAGAUAAUUAUUAUUUUUCAACUUGCUCAGGAUUUUAACAUUGUCUAUAAUGGCUCUUCCGCAAGCACACCACUAAAAAGGAAACUGUUCUAGUAGAUGCAGAUUUGUUAGUUCAAGUUAGUUCACUGUCAGUGGCACUAUAAGCAAGGUAGUUUAUGUUGGUAUAUGUGAUUUUUGUUUUUAUAAAAGACCUGCUCACUUUUCCAUUGUCUUUUCUUAAUUGCUUCAUAUUAAGAGAAAAUAGAAGAUACUUUAUUAGUUUAGCUGUGAGGAGAGUUUGGCAGUAGAACUACUAAAAAAAAGAAUAUAUUUACUUUAGGUUCUGCAUAGCAGACUACAGCUAGCAAUUACAAGCCAUCCAAAAUGCACAGGAUUCAUUCAAAACUUCUAACUGUAGUAACCUGUACAUAUCACUGCCAGACCUCUAUAAAAUAGCUGGUUUUAUUUUCCUGUUGCAUGCAAAAAUUAAUUUAUCUUAAGCUAAUAUCUGACGGCCUGACAUUUUAGUUCUAAAUUAUUUUUUUGUAAUUACAUGGUCUCUUGAGAGAGGAGGAAUACUGAGAUGUGCAAAGCUAUUAUUUUUCUUUUCUUUAUAAAUUCAGUUAAUUUUGAAUGUUUAUGAGAAUUCUUAGAACACUGUCAAGAUCAUUUGAACUAAGCAGUCAAUUCAUAUGCUGGCUUUUUUCUAAAUGAGGUAUUUGGGUUGGAGAUGUGACUGAGUGGUAAGCACUUGCCUAGCAUACACAAAGCCCUCGGUUCAGUCCCCAGCACAACAAGAAAAGGGAUGGAUAUAGAUAUAGAGAUAUAUAGUUAAACAAGCUAUUUCUCUUUCUCCACAAGUGAAAGUGUUAAGAGUAACCCUCUAAUAGCAUCAAACAAGACUAUUAAUGCUGUAGUUUACCGGUGACAAGUCCUUGCUUCCCUGAAUGCUGAAGUAUAAUACCAGAGAAGCAGGCAGAGGCAAGUUUAGAGUGGAAAGUAGAAGCUUUAUUAAAGGACAGCAGAAAGAACUUCUUCCCAGAGGAAGAAGGGGACCCAAAAGGCGAAUCUAUGGAAGGAUGAGGUCUUCCCUUUUUUUAUAGCUAAGGUCAUCUUUCAGCUUUCCCACACUCAAGUCUUUUGUUUCCCUUUAUCUUACAGUGAUAGAAUGCAGGUGGGAAGGCCCAAAAGGUGGGAGAUAGGAGGGCUGAAGGAGUAAUCGGGGCAGGAAGGGCCAGGGACAGCUUUUGAUUAGCAUUUCCCUGUUUGCUGGGAGCUGCUUCUUUAACAGUUCCUUAGGAUGGGUUCCCAGGCCUUGGGGACACUAACAUUUCAAUUUCCCCAAGUGCUGCUCUGGUUUUCUAGACUCCAUUCUCUAUAAUAGCCUCCAUUUUGUUUAUCUUACUCGAUAUUAGACCCGAUUUACCUAACAACACUAACUACCUAUCUUUAAAUCUGGCUUCAGUGCUAGGGUUACAAAAAGAAAGGGUUUCUUCAUAGUGGGUAAUUAUCAGAAGUCUUCUUUUCUUUAGGUACUAUAGACUUUAGAUCUCUCCUCUGUGAUUAUCUAGAUAAAUUACAUUUUUUAUAUGGAGCCUAAUCUUAUACCGUAAGAUAAUACAGAUCAAGCAUCACUAAUCCAAAAAUGUAAACUCUGAAGCUUUUUGAACACCAAUAAGUGCUCUAUAAAAUUACCUUCAGACUGUGUGUGUCUAUAAGGUUUAUAUCUAAUGUAAAUGAAUUUCAUGUUUAGACUGGUCCCAUUUACAAGAUAUCUUAUGUGUAGGCAGAUAUUCCAAAAUCCAAGUCACUUCUGGUCUCAACUCUUUCAGAUAAGGGAUAUUCAACCUUUACCAAGUUUUCCUUCCACCAGAAAUCAUUUUUGAAUUAUGUUAUUUAUAAUCCCUGUAUUGGGCAGAAAUGGGUACCCUGCUACCAUCAAAUGAGUCCUCAACUUUAUCAGGUUUUGCUACCCUCCUCCUUUGUAUUAAAAAGUGACUAGAACAUAAAUGGCAGAAAAAGAUGAAGCUUUUGGUUGUCACGAUGUUUUGUGUUCACAUAACAGAGGGAACAAUGCAUGAUAGCAUAUAGUGGUGGCAGCUCCUGGCAGUAGCUUUCUUGGAAACUGGAAUCUUCUUAAAUAGCAACAAGACUGAUUAGUGCUAUUUUUGACCUAAUUUCUGGAUGAUUUUUAAGGGAGAAUCAUUUCUGAGUCUGUAGUGGCAGUUUCAAAGCACAGCUUUAAGUUUUUGUUAGAAAGAAAUUCCAUACAGUUCCUCUUUUUGCAGGCUUCUGAGUCAAGCAUAGAAAUUCUACUUUCUCACUAGCUCAGAGUGAGUUAAAUUUCCUAAGGAGACCCCAGACUUUCUCCAACCACUUUCUAAAUUGAGAUCACCAAAAGAUCAUUGGUCCCCUCACCUGAAACCUCCAAUAUGGAAGUACUGAUUCUAUUAAGUCCCUGAGACAGUCUGUAAUUCCCCAAAGAGGACAUGUAAACUAACUCCAAUUGUGAUUUCUAAAAGUAUUCUAAUUUCACCCAAAAUUCUGGGAUAAUAGAAAAACUUGUCUUUCCUUAUAUGCCUAUAGUAACAAGAUGAGCAAUUUUCAAAAGUAGCUUUACUAAAAAUAAAAAAAAAAAUGUACGGUGGUUUAAAAUUCCUAUACCAUAUUAAGGAAAUAAAAUUGUUAACUAGGCUGAAGUAACUUUUCCAGCAUUUGGACCAAAAGCUUUCUUCUCUGCAUCACUUGGUCCUGAAGCCUGAAGGAUAUUCAGGUUGAUCCCAUGCUUCAUUGAAGUUGAACCACUAUUUCUCAUAGUUACCAUCAGAUUUGGUCUUUCUGUCAACCACAUGACCCCUCUGGCAGUCUUGAGUCUCUUCACCCCUCAGCUCUCUAUCCUGGAGAGCAAAAGACCCUUCCAAAUUCCAGAGCCCUAUUAGAUGCCCCAUUUCUAACAGAAGGAUUACACAACUCUUCCUGCUUUCUGAGAUUCUUCCUUGAUGAAUCAUUCUAGACCAUUCCUUUUCCUGCCUUUCCUACUUUCCAGAGAAAUGUUUUCCCCCUAAGGUAUAGAAUAUGAAAAAAUACUUCAGGACAUAAAUUCUCAUUCAGUUAAUCAUCAAGGCUAUUAAUGAUGUGUAUUGCUGAUAGAAUAUUUUUUAAAAGAUAGUCUUUUUUCUCAAGACAAGCAUUCCCAUUUUCUUGUUUUCUUAAUUAUAAAUGUUUUUCCAUAGAGACUUGUGCCAAAGUUAUUGGCAGCAUUUACAUCAGUUACUGGUAUUGAAUGGUGAAAACGAAUGAAGGAGGAGUGUUUUGGGAAAGCAGUUGCUCAUUUUGUUUUUCUAAAGUCAUUUGUAUUUUAUCUCAUUUUUUGUUUUUCUUGGCUUCUUUUCAUUGGCUGUCCUUUUUCCCUUUUAUUUUUCUUUAUAUUCAAAACUUUUCUUCUCCUGGCUUUUUAAAAUUAAAACUUAAUUCUCAAAAUAUGUGGUUUUAUGUUUAAAACUCCAUAGUUAAAAGCAUAUUAAAAAUUGGCUCUUCACUCUAGAUUCUAUUGGUAGCAUAGGGUGAAGUGAAGAAAGAAGGAUGAAGAAGAAAUCAUUCUCUUGAUUAUACUUUAAAAGUUUUUGUUCUUUUCCAGGAGUCCAAUGUGCUGAUUGCUGCUAACAGUCAGGGUACAAUUAAGGUAAGGUAUUUUAUAUAUCUCCAUUUUUAAACUCAGAUCCAUUUUUAGACUAUAAAAAGAUCAUGGAAAUAUACAGUUGUAGUGAACCUUAUAGGUCAUUUCAGAUUAUGGGUCUCUGUCUCCUUGUAAAUGGCUUGAUUUAGGGGAAAGAAAGAGCUUGCAUCUGUGGAGAUGGUAGUACUUGUUGAGGUUUAUGAAUGCUGGAUGGAUUGAUAGAUAGUCAGAUAAAAAAGAUUGAAGCAUUCACAGUGGGCCAAGCGCUGUUGAGCUUCUCUUCUCUUACACUGUAGCUAACCAAAGGACAUUCCCUGCCCAGGUCCAAAUACAGCAGGAGGUGCAUAUACAUCCACUAGAUUUAAAUUUAUCUUACUCUCAUUUUACUUUUCCUCAUGUUUCUCUUCCUUUUCUUUCCUGACAAGCAGGUUUUUCUUCACUUGUCAAGGUGGGAGUUGAGAGUGUGGGGAAAAAAUUUAGCGUUCAGUUGAAAAUUGGUUGAUCAUGUGAUGCUGUUACUAUAAUCUGAAAAUUUGAGUGCCCCUUGGUAGUCUCAGUCAUAAACUCAUGAUACAGUUUUCCACAGAUUUUCCUUUGUAGUUAGGAGCUCAAAAAAAUAAAAAUGUUAUCUACUUAUACUAUUGGAUAGUUUAGCCCUUGGGCAUAAUACCUUAGAUAAGCAAAUUAUGAGCUAAGCAAAACAAACUUUCUGAACAAAACACCAUUUUGGUGGCUUUUAGUACAUGGAUUUGAUUAGCGCAUAUUCCGAGAAUACCUGUUCUUUCCACAUAUUUUUUCAUGAAAUAUCAGGAAGCAUUUUUUUAAUAUAUAUAACGUAUCUACUUUACCUGCCAAUAGGUAUUAAAUUUGCCAUGAAUUCCUUCAGCUCAUCCCAAGUAGAGAAUAACCCAGCCCUCAAGGGAGAAAAUUCAAUCCUAACAAGUACGAUAGUGAGGAAAUGGGCAAACUCAAAGCAGAACUGCAUUGAACUGGUCAAACUAAUUCACAUGGUAGACUACUUUUUAGACAGCUAGUUUCUCUAAAUCCUCUUCUAAAGAAAAACCAUGGACAGCUUAAAUGAAAACUAGGUUUUUGAAAUGAUUAACAUUUGUUAUAUUUUGAAGCCUCAAGCAAGAUAGAAGGUCUUAGAAUCUCUGAUUUAAUUGUCUCUUUUUACUCGUUGGGUCUCUCUUUAUUUUAGCCUCAUGGAAUGGCAUGAGUUAACAAAAAGAAACCUUACUCUUCAACAAGUUUGGCCUUUGGAUCAAUUGAAAUUACUAAGAUCUCUUCAGGAAUUCAAAGCUACAUUGAUACUCAUAGAGCCUCAUUGAUAAAUCUGAGCUUUUUAAAAACAGUUUAGACCUCUUAUGUUAAGUAGCUUACUUGUCCAAUAUAAAGAUAUCAUUCCAACAGUCAAGUUAAACCUUAGCAGAGUAGCAAAGGUUGCAUCUUUACAUCUUUGCCCCCCAAAAUUUUAGUCUCCUUGUAACUUAAUUCUUUUUGACAGUGUCUCAUAAUUAUCCUCGUGUUCAUGGUCUUUUCUUAGCUAUUUGCUCCCACUUUUUCUUAUCUUUAGUUGUAGCAAUAUCACAACUUAUUUUUAUGAGGGGGUAUUGCUUUAACACUAAAAGCUAACAAAAUACCUUGACACCAAAUGAUUAACCAGAAAAUGAAAAAACUAGUAGAAAAAGGCAAAGUUUUAUGUGCUAUAUACCUUGAUCACUGGUGUUUGGUCAGUGGUUUGAUCAAACUAGUGCUUAUCAAUAGAAGUAAUAGAUUAUAUCCUAAAUAGUAAUGUUUCAAGUUUUCUUAAAAAUGUGGAAGAAUACCAACAGACAUUCCAUAAAUGUAUAUCCAUGCCACGUAUCAGCCAGUUCAUUUAUACAUGUUUUAUCUUGAAGGCUCCCUAAUUAAAAUGGAGAUAAUUAACCUGAAAGAGUUCGUAUAGUGGUUGAUUUGAAUGUAAGAAAGGGCUUAUGUUCAAUCCCUUCAAAUUUGUUAGCAUUAUAACCAGGUGGUAAACAUUUUUUAUUUAGUUUCCACUGGUAAAUACAGUUAAGAGUCACUAAACUCUUUUAUGUUGUAAAGCUAUUAUAUAACGCUAAUCCCUUUUUUCCCCAUUAGGUGCUAGAGUUGGUAUGAAGGGUUUACUGAAGUCGAGGGUGUGUUUGAUCCUGCCUAAUACAUCUGCAGCUGACAAUGAGAGAAGAAACGAAUGUCACAUGAAGUCUCGCCCCAAAAUCAUCAUGGGAUUUGUAUUCUUUUGAGUACUUUAUUUCCUUUUUUUCCGUCUUUAUGACCUUGGGACAUUGGGAAUGCCCAGCGAACUCUCCGCCAUCAAUGUAACUCCAUGGACUUUGCUGCUGUUGGUGGUGUGGUUAUCUAAUUUUUGUGAUAGGGAAACAAAUUCUUUUGAAUAAAAAUAAAUAACAAAAAAUAAUAAAAGUUUAUU